This 271-nucleotide ribosomal RNA is filed under the name Inocybe subdestricta. Its description in RNAcentral is "partial large subunit ribosomal RNA". Lineage: Eukaryota; Fungi; Basidiomycota; Agaricomycetes; Agaricales; Inocybaceae. The record is from RNAcentral.
ACGCUUGAAGUCAGUCGCGUCGGCUGGAAAUCAGCCUUGCUUUUGCUUGGUGUACUUUCUGGUUCGAUGGGUCAGCAUCAAUUUCGACCGCCGGAUAAAGUCGUUGGGAAUGUGGCAUCUUAGGAUGUGUUAUAGCCCAUUGUCGCAUACGGCGGUUGGGAUUGAGGAGCUCAGCACGCCAGCAAUGGCCGGGUUUUCGAACCACGUUCGUGCUUAGGAUGCUGGCAUAAUGGCUUUAAUCGACCCGUCUUGAAACACGGACCAAGGAGUC